RNAcentral lists this small RNA (661 nucleotides) under Cryptococcus neoformans H99. Its description in RNAcentral is "Cryptococcus neoformans var. grubii H99 hypothetical RNA". The record is from RNAcentral. Lineage: Eukaryota; Fungi; Basidiomycota; Tremellomycetes; Tremellales; Cryptococcaceae.
GACGAAAACACGCAAAAUGGUAGACCUACAAGGAUUAUUGUGCCACGCGACUACCACGUGAGUUCCAGGUGAAAACGCGCCUCAGGCUUCUAUAGGUAUUACUACUUUGAACUCCUAUCUUGAGAUCUAAGGCAACUUAGCAGUGGAAGAAGGCACCAGCGGAUAAAGAUAAACCUGGAAAGGUUUAAUGACGAUCUUACGGGUUAACAUCGAGGUAAUUUUCACCGACUUCUAACACGAUUUGCCUUCUAGGUAUCCGUAGGGAAAUUCUUCGCAUGUAACAGUUUCCACAACAUCUUUCUUCGCCCUCUUCAUUACCUCCCUCCUCUUCAUCCCUGCUUCGACGCCAAUACCAGCGAACACAACCCCCACGCCCAUCCAUUGGCCCCUUGUGAGCCUGUGCUCAAAGACGACGACACUAAGAAGCAUAGUAAAAAGCUUCCUUGUGACGGUGACCAUGACGAGGGUAAGAGAACCAAAGUGCUGGAUGGUUUCAAAGAUGAAGAGUUGACCCAAGCCACCAAGAAGGGCGUAUGCAAAGAGAGGCGGAAGAGCGGAAGGGUGGGAAAGGAGGAAAGAGAUAGAUUCCAAUGCCGCAGGAGGGGAGAAGCUGAGAGUAGAGGUGGGCACAGAAGAGCCAAGAGGCGGAGGUAAAUGGGCG